This 1463-nucleotide ribosomal RNA is filed under the name metagenome. Its description in RNAcentral is "bacterial LSU rRNA". It matches the Rfam family "Bacterial large subunit ribosomal RNA", at positions 1118 to 2564 of the family's 2925-position model. The record is from RNAcentral.
UUCAUUUAAAGAAAGCGUAAUAGCUCACUGGUCGAGUCGGCCUGCGCGGAAGAUGUAACGGGGCUAAACCAUGCACCGAAGCUGCGGCAGCGACACUAUGUGUUGUUGGGUAGGGGAGCGUUCUGUAAGCCUGUGAAGGUGUGCUGUGAGGCAUGCUGGAGGUAUCAGAAGUGCGAAUGCUGACAUAAGUAACGAUAAAGCGGGUGAAAAGCCCGCUCGCCGGAAGACCAAGGGUUCCUGUCCAACGUUAAUCGGGGCAGGGUGAGUCGACCCCUAAGGCGAGGCCGAAAGGCGUAGUCGAUGGGAAACAGGUUAAUAUUCCUGUACUUGGUGUUACUGCGAAGGGGGGACGGAGAAGGCUAUGUUGGCCGGGCGACGGUUGUCCCGGUUUAAGCGUGUAGGCUGGUUUUCCAGGCAAAUCCGGAAAAUCAAGGCUGAGGCGUGAUGACGAGGCACUACGGUGCUGAAGCAACAAAUGCCCUGCUUCCAGGAAAAGCCUCUAAGCAUCAGGUAACAUCAAAUCGUACCCCAAACCGACACAGGUGGUCAGGUAGAGAAUACCAAGGCGCUUGAGAGAACUCGGGUGAAGGAACUAGGCAAAAUGGUGCCGUAACUUCGGGAGAAGGCACGCUGAUAUGUAGGUGAAGCGACUUGCUCGUGGAGCUGAAAUCAGUCGAAGAUACCAGCUGGCUGCAACUGUUUAUUAAAAACACAGCACUGUGCAAACACGAAAGUGGACGUAUACGGUGUGACGCCUGCCCGGUGCCGGAAGGUUAAUUGAUGGGGUUAGCCGCAAGGCGAAGCUCUUGAUCGAAGCCCCGGUAAACGGCGGCCGUAACGAUAACGGUCCUAAGGUAGCGAAAUUCCUUGUCGGGUAAGUUCCGACCUGCACGAAUGGCGUAAUGAUGGCCAGGCUGUCUCCACCCGAGACUCAGUGAAAUUGAACUCGCUGUGAAGAUGCAGUGUACCCGCGGCAAGACGGAAAGACCCCGUGAACCUUUACUAUAGCUUGACACUGAACAUUGAGCCUUGAUGUGUAGGAUAGGUGGGGGGCUUUGAAGUGUGGACGCCAGUCUGCAUGGAGCCGACCUUAAAAUACCACCCUUUAAUGUUUGAUGUUCUAACGUUGACCCGUAAUCCGGGUUGCGGACAGUGUCUGGUGGGUAGUUUGACUGGGGCGGUCUCCUCCUAAAGAGUAACGGAGGAGCACGAAGGUUGGCUAAUCCUGGUCGGACAUCAGGAGGUUAGUGCAAUGGCAUAAGCCAGCUUGACUGCGAGCGUGACGGCGCGAGCAGGUGCGAAAGCAGGUCAUAGUGAUCCGGUGGUUCUGAAUGGAAGGGCCAUCGCUCAACGGAUAAAAGGUACUCCGGGGAUAACAGGCUGAUACCGCCCAAGAGUUCAUAUCGACGGCGGUGUUUGGCACCUCGAUGUCGGCUCAUCACAUCCUGGGGCUGAAGUAGGUG